This 484-nucleotide ribosomal RNA is filed under the name uncultured bacterium. RNAcentral describes it as "partial 16S ribosomal RNA". It matches the Rfam family "Bacterial small subunit ribosomal RNA", at positions 29 to 507 of the family's 1533-position model. The record is from RNAcentral.
AGUGAACGCUGGCGGUAUGCCUUACACAUGCAAGUCGAACGGCAGCGCGGUCUUCGCUUUGGCUGCGAGUGGCGAACGGGUGAGCAAUUCAUCGGAACGUGCCCAUCUGCUUUGUCUAGCUGGGUGACAUCCGGAAUAAUACCCUAAUCGACCAUACGGCGUACGGGGGGGAUCAUCGGACCUUGCGCCCUUGCAGGGGUCGAUGGCGGAUUAGCUAGUUGGCGGGGUAAAGGCCUACCAAGGCGACGAUCUGUAGCUGGUCUGAGAGGACGAGCAGCCACACUGGAACUGAGACACGGCCCAGACUCCUACGGGAGGCAGCAGUGGGGAAUAUUGGACAAUGGGCGAAAGCCUGAUCCAGCAAUACCGCGUGUGUGAUGAAGGCCUUCGGGUUGUAAAGCACUUUUGGCGGGAAAGAAAAGGACUAUGUCAAUACCACGGUGCGCUGACGGUACCCGAAGAAUAAGCACCGGCUAACUACGUG